CGGAGGGUAGUUCAAUUGGCUAGAAUACGCGGUUUGGGACCGCGGGGUUGCAGGUUCGAGUCCUGUCUCUCCGA
Molecule: transfer RNA, 74 nt
Filed under: Candidatus Dojkabacteria bacterium
Lineage: Bacteria
Description: tRNA-Pro
Rfam family: tRNA
About the family: Transfer RNA (tRNA) molecules are approximately 80 nucleotides in length. Their secondary structure includes four short double-helical elements and three loops (D, anti-codon, and T loops). Further hydrogen bonds mediate the characteristic L-shaped molecular structure. tRNAs have two regions of fundamental functional importance: the anti-codon, which is responsible for specific mRNA codon recognition, and the 3' end, to which the tRNAs corresponding amino acid is attached (by aminoacyl-tRNA synthetases). tRNAs cope with the degeneracy of the genetic code in two manners: having more than one tRNA (with a specific anti-codon) for a particular amino acid; and 'wobble' base-pairing, i.e. permitting non-standard base-pairing at the 3rd anti-codon position.
Source: RNAcentral